CAACCAGUGGCGUGCUGGCAGGGGGGGCCGGGGGGCCACGGCCCCCCCAGCUGGCAAUUUUUGGGGGGCGCAAAAAUGAAAAGGGGGCGCCGAUCCCGCGCCGAAUUUUGAAAGUAGGUGGGAAGAAACGCAUUCGAAAAAAUAUAGUUGCUAAUUCCGCCAAUGAAAGAUGUGUUUAUAGACUUAUAAACAGACUAAGCGCAUAGGCGACAAAGUGAGUAUAUUAAAUUGCAGACUAUUUUGUCUAACCGUAUUUGCUACCUCACGACUCACACGAAAUCACUCGUUCAUAUAGAAACAUGAUCAGUGAUCACACGCAAUGUCUCAUUACCGGAAUAUUGAUCAGGCUUCGAAGCGAUCACGGGAAUUAUGCCCUUUUUUGCUGGUAUUAUACCCUUAUAUUAUGCCCUUUAUUAUGCUUCACGAAUCACGAGAGCGGCGCAAAUUAGAUAGUUGAAGUUAUGAUAAUGUAAAGUUGUGUACGCAAUUUAGUUGUUUGCGCAAGAAACAUUAUGAGUAAUGUAAGUAAUGAGAUAAUGAUGAAACACGCCCUUUUGGCAGCCAGGCAAGGAAACCUUAAAAUGCAUAUGCGUGGGGUUCGUGUGUUAUUGUAUAAAAGAGCUGUAAAUUGUAAAUGUAUUCAGAUCAGUAGAGAAUAGAAUUGGGAUUAGAUUAAUUGCUGGAAGUAGUUAGCAUUGCCCAAUUUAAGUGCUACUACUAAAUUCUAACCAAUUUUCAAAUUUCGACACGUUGUAAUGCCGUUUCCUGACCAUCAGAUUUCUGUCAAAUCUUCCCCCAAAGUCCAGGAAAUGGCAUUUCAGAGACUCUAAAUUCAAAAAUUUUCCUGGGGGGCAUGCCCCCGGACCCCCCUAGACAAACCUCGCACCUGCGGCGCUCGGCUCGUGCCUUCGGCCCUCGUUUAUCAAGGGUAAUAUUAUAGGGGCGCAUAUUAGUUGCCAGCCGACUGGCCUCCCCAGAAAAAUAGUACCCAGCACGCCACUG
Molecule: non-coding RNA, 1002 nt
Organism: Paramuricea clavata
Lineage: Eukaryota; Metazoa; Cnidaria; Anthozoa; Malacalcyonacea; Plexauridae
Source: the annotation of a GenBank genome assembly